AAUACGUUCCCGGACCUUGCACACACCGCCCGUCAAGCCAUGGAAGCUGGGUGUACCUAAAGUCGGUAACCGCAAGGAGCUGUCUAGGGUAAAACUAGUAACUGGGGCU
This 109-nucleotide ribosomal RNA is filed under the name uncultured bacterium. RNAcentral's name for it is "partial 16S ribosomal RNA". It matches the Rfam family "Bacterial small subunit ribosomal RNA", at positions 1365 to 1482 of the family's 1533-position model. The record is from RNAcentral.